CAUCAGAUGGCUGAGAUUAAGCACUGGUCUCUUAAACCACUUUACAAUAGAAUACACUAUUUCUGAUGA
Molecule: transfer RNA, 69 nt
Filed under: Sinelater perroti
Lineage: Eukaryota; Metazoa; Arthropoda; Insecta; Coleoptera; Elateridae
Description: tRNA-Lys
Source: RNAcentral